UAACACUACGAAUCAUAUGUUUAUUGUUUACAAGUUUAUUUCCUGCGACGCGAUUUUAUUGGACUUUAGUCAUCCAAAAUGUUGAAUUUAAAGCACUUGGCCAGCCACGCCUACCGCCAGUACGAGCUCGUAACCUGCAUCAAUAUGCUGGAGCCCUGGGAAAGGAAGUUGAUCAAUGGAUUCUUCCUGAUCAUGCUGUCCCUGGUGAUCUUCUCCAGCUUCAUGUAUCUACCGGACUAUCUGCAGACCCUGCUGCAGUUCAUAACGCCACCCACUUGGCAUAGUUCUCCAGAAAAUUCAGCCUAUGUGGCACAGAAAAUGGCACGGAGCUAAGUUCCCUCAUAUCUUAUAUGUACUUCCGGUAGAAACCCUUGCCCACACAUACUCCCUAUAGAAAGACAACUAUGAUUUAACCUUUAUGAUAUAAUUGUGAUUCACCUCGACUGGUCCAAGAUCUACAGAUUACAAUGGCUUCCACGAUUCGCAAAGCGGAUGUGUUGAAGAACAGGCCAACCAGACCUCCAAGGGAAACUAAAGGAUAAUAUUAUCGUUUAAAAAAUAUAAUACUUCCAUAAAGUUUUGGAGCUUACUCAAGAAAUCCAGGAUAGUUUUGGUCACACGACGAACAUAGCGUUGAGUGGGCAGCUCGACGAGAGCCACUCGGAUUGUAGAGACAUCAUCUGAGGCUUCAUCAUCCCUAGAAAUUAAUAGGAGAACCUAUUAUAUAAGCUUAGUUACUCAAAACUUAAAUCACUACUUCCAUUCGAUUCGUUAAAAGGAUGAUUUUGUUAUAAAUGUACUUACUCAUCCUCCGAGUUGUAGAUAAUAUUGUACUCCGGCUCCUCACAGGAGCUCAUGCACUCGCAGGACUUGCGCUCCGUCAUGAUCUUGUCCCGGAUCCGGGUGAGGCAGAUCAAACCGCGAUAGUCGCAGGCAGCAAGGUUAUUCUGACCAGGAGUGGCCAUAAAGUGGCUGGUGCAGUUGCAAUUUUCUAGCUGCAGGUGCACGGUACUUAGAAAUAUAUAAACGAAUACCAUAAA
RNA transcript from Drosophila suzukii, 1040 nucleotides. It is a transcript of the gene named serine palmitoyltransferase small subunit A, with no coding region annotated. NCBI's taxonomy places the organism in Eukaryota, Metazoa, Arthropoda, Insecta, Diptera, Drosophilidae. The record is from RefSeq and is a predicted model, not a curated record.